CCUACGGGGGGCAGCAGUCGAGAAUCAUUCACAAUGGGGGAAACCCUGAUGGUGCGACGCCGCGUGGGGGAAUGAAGGUCUCCGGAUUGUAAACCCCUGUCAUGUGGGAGCAAAUUAAAAAGAUAGUACCACAAGAGGAAGAGACGGCUAACUCUGUGCCAGCAGCCGCGGGAAUACAGAGGUCUCAAGCGUUGUUCGGAAUCACUGGGCGUAAAGCGUGCGUAGGCGGUUUCGUAAGUCGUGUGUGAAAGGCGCGGGCUCAACCCGCGGACGGAACAUGAUACUGCGAGACUAGAGUAAUGGAGGGGGAACCGGAAUUCUCGGUGUAGCAGUGAAAUGCGUAGAUAUCGAGAGGAACACUCGUGGCGAAGGCGGGUUCCUGGACAUUAACUGACGCUGAGGCACGAAGGCCAGGGGAGCGAAAGGGAUUAGAUACCCCAGUAGUC
This 446-nucleotide ribosomal RNA is filed under the name uncultured bacterium. RNAcentral describes it as "partial 16S ribosomal RNA". It matches the Rfam family "Bacterial small subunit ribosomal RNA", at positions 338 to 795 of the family's 1533-position model. The record is from RNAcentral.